AGCAGGCCUGGGGAACAAUGAGUAAGGCAGAGAGGGAAUAGGGACUUGUAGGCCACAGUGUGGACUCUAGCCUUUAGUCUGAGCUGGGGACUCACUGGAGGAUUCUGAGCAGAGCAGUGACAUGAUUGGGCCUACAUUUUUAAGACUUAACCCUGGCUGCUGUGUUGAGAACAGGUGAUCAUGGGGCACAGACAGAAGCAGAAAGGUGAGCUGGAGGAAAAGGAGAGAAAAAUUGACAUCUGGUGGAGCAGAAAGAAACCAGCUAGAGCACUGGCCUUGUCAUUAUCUCACUGUUGUGAUGAACUGGCGCUUUCUCAUCUCCAAAAGCAGGGCACUGAACUAGGAGAUCGCCACGUCACAUGAUGAAAAACGCUCAAACUAACACUCUUUAUCCUUGUGAGCAGCCCUAGUAGCAGAUUUAAUGUGGGAGGAGGUUCACACUACUGGAUAAAAAUCAAGUUUUAGGAUUCCAUGUUAUCUAAGCUGACCACCCCACGGCAGAGGAUCAAGACGUAGCUAAAUAUGGUCCUCAGGCAAGCUUCAUUUCCCCAUCUGUGAAGGGAGAGUAAAUAUAGCAUACACAUGUUAAGAUAAAUGAGAGAGUUGGUCAAGUGUUUUGAGCUCUUCGGCAGACAAGCCUGACUUUCCAAAAAAAGACAAACCACAACUUUGGAGCCAGUGCUAUUUCUUCUGUGCAUGGUGAGGUGACUUCCCCAGUUGUAAAGGAUUUAGGGCUGAAAUUCCAUAUUGUCUGGAGCUAUAAUUACAAGUCUCUUUCACUAAAACAGAGGUCAGCUGGGCUAAAGCAUGUAGAAAGAAGGUAAAUGUCUGGCCACAUUUCCAUGUGGCAUACUCCUUUCCUAACUUUUUGGCACAAACUUCAUACUGAUAAAAUAUUCACUCCUUCACUCCACAAAUAUCUGGCAAGUAGAUGCUGAGCACUGUGUAGAGAGGAGUAAACACAGCACAGAUUCUGCCCUCCUGCCGCGCAGAGUACAGCAGAGGAGCCGCCUGCGCACAGGGCUGUGAGCUAGGGCAGUACCACCCUAUGUCUGGGGGGCAUUUUAGACAUUUGGGAGGUGCUUUCAAUUGUCAAAAUAAGUGGGGAAACUCUGCCACCAGGGUGGGAGCCAUGGUGCUACAUGACCUGUGUGAGGGAAACCAGCCCCCGGCCCCGCAUAACUGGUGAGUGAACUGCUAGACAUUCAUAAAUCUGAAAAAAACUCUCGUGGGAAAACAGCCUGUUGCAUAGCAAGAGUGAUGCCAUCUUUAAGUAAAAAUGCCACGAUGACCUAAUCUUUGACGCCUACAAUUCAAGGUGUUCCAGAGCAUAGAGAAGCCCUCAUAACCUCCCCAGUAGUCAUGAGUUUCUAAAGGAAGUCUGAGACAUGAUGAACUUCCUGUGUCUUACCCUCAAGGCCUGCUAUAUAAAAGAUACUUUCUGGAGGUUGGUUGUGAGACUCCACCAUCUCUUGGCCUACCUACACAUCAUUCCUAACAUCUGUUUCUAAGUCUCUGUGAAAUAUUUCUUUCUGAGAAA
This is a non-coding RNA of Saimiri boliviensis boliviensis (Bolivian squirrel monkey), 1540 nucleotides long. Lineage: Eukaryota; Metazoa; Chordata; Mammalia; Primates; Cebidae. The record is from RefSeq and is a predicted model, not a curated record.